Molecule: ribosomal RNA, 424 nt
Filed under: uncultured prokaryote
Description: bacterial SSU rRNA
Rfam family: Bacterial small subunit ribosomal RNA
Source: RNAcentral
UUGGGAAUAUUGGACAAUGGGCGCAAGCCUGAUCCAGCCAUGCCGCGUGAGUGAUGAAGGCCUUAGGGUUGUAAAGCUCUUUUACCAGGGAUGAUAAUGGCAGUACCUGGAGAAUAAGCUCCGGCUAACACCGUGCCAGCACCCGCGGUAAGACGGAGGGAGCUAGCGUUGUUCGGAAUUACUGGGCGUAAAGCGCGCGUAGGCGGCUAUUCAAGUCAGAGGUGAAAGCCCGGGGCUCAACUCCGGAACUGCCUUUGAAACUAGAUAGCUAGAAUCCAGGAGAGGUGAGUGGAAUUCCGAGUGUAGAGGUGAAAUUCGUAGAUAUUCGGAAGAACACCAGUGGCGAAGGCGACUCACUGGACUGGUAUUGACGCUGAGGUGCGAAAGCGUGGGGAGCAAACAGGAUUAGAUACCCCCGUAGUCC